CAAAGAGUAAGUUUUAGAUUUCUUUAUUGUCUAUUUAUAUCUAUAUAUCUCUCUCUCUUUAAUGGGACACUACAAUGAAAGAUUUUUUAUCUUUUUGUAAGGGAGUAAUAUAAGGCAGAGGAUUAAAAGUGUUGUAGGGAUUCAGAAUUAGAUACACUAUUAGAUAUGGCUAAAGUUUAGACUCCAUUUACUCAUUUGUCUAUUUUCUUUUUGCUACUCAAAAUAUAUAUAAAUAGUUCAAAAGGGAAAAUUAUCCCAGGGGCCUGGGAAAGCAGGCUGUCCCUAUCUCUUUCUUGUUCAAAAUUAAGAGUCAGACCUUGUGGUUUUUCUAAUCUGAUACAAUGAGGGGAUCUCCCAACAUUCCAGAGAGUCUUGUGGCUCUUCCUUAUAUUCUUCAUUCACCAAAGUUGCCCAAUAGUUUUCAUUAAUAAUGUUUUUAUCCUCUGCUUCUUCAAUUAUUACACUCUCUCAAACCUUAGUGUCUUACUCAGUUGUCAUGAUCCUCUGGCAUUACAGGUAGGAAUAAACUAUUCUUAACUUAUCUUCUGGUUUUUCUUCCCUGUAAAGGUUCAAUUAAAUCUAAAACCCAUAAAGACAUGAAACAGGAAUUGGAGAGGGCAGGAGAGACACAUUCUCACGUGUCAGGAAGUGAGGCUGGUGUAGGAGCUGUCACCCAUAUCCCCGACCAUGGAGAACCAGGAAAAAUCAUGACAUCACUGACUAGUGGCCUCCUGAUCCGGGAAUCCACUGUAUAUGCUAUAGGUAAGAAAAUGUAUUUUCUUUCUAUUAUACUGGUAUUUAUCCUUGCUUUGGGCACUUGUUUUCAAUUUUGAGAUAUGGAGUCAUCUUCAUAGUCUGAGAACAGGACAAUCACUGAUGGGGGAAGUUUGUCAUUAGGUUGUAAGAUUUGACAAUUUCCUCUGGCCUAUUACUUUCUGCCCUAACAUAGGCUGUGAUAGCAGCCUUUGGAUGAAGAUCUCAUGGGGGAUUUUGCCUUUUGUUUGUUUGGGUGUAUACAUAUAAUAGCCUAUUCAUUUUCUUUUAUUAUUUCUCAACUGGGGAAUAGCUCUUCUAAAAAUAAUUUUGUUAAUUUAUAAAACAUAUAAAUUCAUAAUAUGUAUCACAUAUUAUAUAUGAUACAUAAAUUUUAUACCUGUCCCCUCCAAUGUAAUAAACAAAUAAAAAAUAAGUGACA
Molecule: long non-coding RNA, 1195 nt
Filed under: Monodelphis domestica (gray short-tailed opossum)
Lineage: Eukaryota; Metazoa; Chordata; Mammalia; Didelphimorphia; Didelphidae
Description: lncRNA (ENSMODG00000043180.1)
Source: RNAcentral